UGGUCGUUCAGGAGAGACGUGUUGCCUCUCCUCCUGCCGCCCCGCCGGCUUUACCGCUUCCUCGUCCCUUUAAUACACAUAAAUAACGAGACGACCACACUAGUAAAUGAUCUGACCCGUAACAUUUAUAUGGAGAUGCAGCAGCUGGAGACGUCGCCGGGAAGUGGGCGGGGCCCACUUGUAUAUCCAGCUUAACUGCCGCAGAAUCCUCAUGACAUAAAGACCACUGGAGACCAGAGAUUAAUGUCUUAUAAGACAUUUACUGUCUUGUGCACACGGAGUGUUUACCGCGAAGUCAGUUGUACAAGACUGCCGC
This is a non-coding RNA of Cherax quadricarinatus, 316 nucleotides long. Lineage: Eukaryota; Metazoa; Arthropoda; Malacostraca; Decapoda; Parastacidae. The record is from RefSeq and is a predicted model, not a curated record.